Molecule: ribosomal RNA, 468 nt
Filed under: uncultured Rhodocyclaceae bacterium
Lineage: Bacteria; Pseudomonadati; Pseudomonadota; Betaproteobacteria; Rhodocyclales; Rhodocyclaceae
Description: bacterial SSU rRNA
Rfam family: Bacterial small subunit ribosomal RNA
Source: RNAcentral
GACGGGACCGCACAAGCGGUGGAUGAUGUGGAUUAAUUCGAUGCAACGCGAAAACCUUACCUACCCUUGACAUGUCCGGAAUCCCGAAGAGAUUUGGGAGUGCUCGCAAGAGAACCGGAACACAGGUGCUGCAUGGCUGUCGUCAGCUCGUGUCGUGAGAUGUUGGGUUAAGUCCCGCAACGAGCGCAACCCUUGUCAUUAGUUGCCAUCAUUUGGUUGGGCACUCUAAUGAGACUGCCGGUGACAAACCGGAGGAAGGUGGGGAUGACGUCAAGUCCUCAUGGCCCUUAUGGGUAGGGCUUCACACGUCAUACAAUGGUCGGUACAGAGGGUUGCCAACCCGCGAGGGGGAGCUAAUCCCACAAAGCCGAUCGUAGUCCGGAUCGCAGUCUGCAACUCGACUGCGUGAAGUCGGAAUCGCUAGUAAUCGUGGAUCAGCAUGUCACGGUGAAUACGUUCCCGGGUCUU